GUCGAACGCUGGCGGCGUGCUUAACACAUGCAAGUCGUACGGUAAGGCCCUUUCGGGGGUACACGAGUGGCGAACGGGUGAGUAACACGUGAGUAACCUGCCCACAACUUUGGGAUAACGCUAGGAAACUGGUGCUAAUACUGGAUAUGUGCUCCUGCUGCAUGGUGGGGGUUGGAAAGCUCCGGCGGUUGUGGAUGGACUCGCGGCCUAUCAGCUUGUUGGUGGGGUAGUGGCCUACCAAGGCGGCGACGGGUAGCCGGCCUGAGAGGGUGACCGGCCACAUUGGGACUGAGAUACGGCCCAGACUCCUACGGGAGGCAGCAGUGGGGAAUAUUGCACAAUGGGCGCAAGCCUGAUGCAGCAACGCCGCGUGCGGGAUGACGGCCUUCGGGUGGUAAACCGCUUUCAGCAGGGACGAAGCUUUUUGUGACGGUACCUGCAGAAGAAGCACCGGCUAACUACG
This 463-nucleotide ribosomal RNA is filed under the name uncultured bacterium. Its description in RNAcentral is "partial 16S ribosomal RNA". It matches the Rfam family "Bacterial small subunit ribosomal RNA", at positions 28 to 505 of the family's 1533-position model. The record is from RNAcentral.